Mercenaria mercenaria is the source of this 456-nucleotide long non-coding RNA. RefSeq lists it as uncharacterized. NCBI's taxonomy places the organism in Eukaryota, Metazoa, Mollusca, Bivalvia, Venerida, Veneridae. The transcript is spliced from 3 exons. The record is from RefSeq and is a predicted model, not a curated record.
UACUUGUUGUACGUCAUUCUUUCGCUAUAGCUGACAGAGGUCAGACAUGUUGUAAUUAGAGAAUGGAAAUGUUUGUGUCUGAGUUUUCUAAACUCGGCAUGUACUGUGAGAUGUAGACAUUGUACCUUUCGUAGAGUUGAUACAGUAACCGGAGCACAGACGGAGAGACGUGGUGUGUGUUGUAUGUGAUAUCAGAAAGGGUUUGAUCCCAUCAGAUCAACGUGAAAGGUUUUGGUAUCUGUCAGAGAUUUGUAUACUGGUACUGUAGUUGGAAGAAUGAUGCUGUUAAUGUAUUUUAUCAACUGGUAAUAUUAAAAGUAUGAAAGAUCGAACAAGUCUUCUUGGAUGUGUUUGACCUAUAGUAUAAGACACAGAUCCCAAGAUUACAUAAGAACCACUAUCAUACUGAAAAACAUUACCUAAACAACGGACCGUUCUAUUAUUAAAGGUACAAAA